GAAUAUUGGACAAUGGGCGAAAGCCUGAUCCAGCAAUGCCGCGUGUGUGAAGAAGGCCUUCGGGUUGUAAAGCACUUUAGGAUGGAAAGAAAAAACUUCAGUUAAUAGCUGGAGUCUUGACGGUACCAUCAGAAUAAGCCCCGGCUAACUCUGUGCCAGCCGCCGCGGUAAUACAGAGGGUGCAAGCGUUAAUCGGAUUUACUGGGCGUAAAGCGUGUGUAGGUGGUGGCGUAAGUCGGUUGUGAAAUCCCGGGGCUCAACCUCGGAACUGCUUCCGAUACUGCGUCACUAGAGUACGGUAGAGGGUGGUGGAAUUUCCGGUGUAGCGGUGAAAUGCGUAGAUAUCGGAAGGAACAUCAAUGGCGAAGGCAACCACCUGGGCCUGUACUGACACUGAGACACGAAAGCGUGGGGAUCAAACAGG
This 424-nucleotide ribosomal RNA is filed under the name uncultured bacterium. Its description in RNAcentral is "bacterial SSU rRNA". It matches the Rfam family "Bacterial small subunit ribosomal RNA", at positions 359 to 776 of the family's 1533-position model. The record is from RNAcentral.